This 253-nucleotide ribosomal RNA is filed under the name uncultured bacterium. RNAcentral's name for it is "partial 16S ribosomal RNA". It matches the Rfam family "Bacterial small subunit ribosomal RNA", at positions 524 to 776 of the family's 1533-position model. The record is from RNAcentral.
UACAGAGGUCUCAAGCGUUGUUCGGAUUCAUUGGGCGUAAAGGGUGCGUAGGCGGCUAGGCAAGUCUGGUGUGAAAUCCCGGGGCUCAACCCCGGAACUGCACUGGAUACUGCUUUGCUAGAGUACUGGAGAGGGAACUGGAAUUUACGGUGUAGCAGUGAAAUGCGUAGAUAUCGUAAGGAAGACCAGCGGCGAAGGCGAGUUCCUGGACAGUUACUGACGCUGAGGCACGAAGGCCAGGGGAGCAAACGGG